This 1739-nucleotide long non-coding RNA is filed under the name Prunus persica (peach). RNAcentral's name for it is "long non-coding RNA (PPER_LNC001037)". The record is from RNAcentral. Lineage: Eukaryota; Viridiplantae; Streptophyta; Magnoliopsida; Rosales; Rosaceae.
UGAAUUGUCCAAUUUCAUGGAGCAAUCGAUAUCGGAUUGAGUCCAAAACUUGAGGAACAUCAUAAUGUUGUGGGAGGAGUCAUUUGGUGAGUUUGAGUGAAAUCCAACCUCUAAAACUAUGCAAUACACCAACCACUCCAUUUCAGAACAAAAUUCGUACAAACCUGAAUUGUCCAAUUUCAUGGACCAAUCGAUAUCGGAUUGAGUACAAAACUUGGAGCACGUCAUAAUAUGGUUCGAAGAGUCAUUUGGUGGGUUUUGAGUGAAAUCCAAUCUCUACAACUACGCAAUACACCAACCACUCCGUUUCAGAACGAACUUCAUACUAACCUGAAUUAUCCAAUUUCAUAAACCAAUCGAUAUCAGAUUGAGUCCAAAACUUGGGGAACAUCAUAACAAGGUGGGAGGAGUCAUUUGGUGGGUUUUUAGUGAAAUCCAAUCUCUUGAAUUAUGUAAUGCACCAACCACUCAAUUUCAUAACAAACUUCGGACGAACGGGAAUUGUCCAAUACACCAACCACUCCAUUUCAAAACGAAUUUCGUACGAACCUAAAUUGUCCAAUUUUAUGCACCAAUCGAUAUCGGAUUGAGUCCAAAACUUGGGGAACAUCAUAAUAUGGUGGGAGGAGUCAUUUGGUGGGUUUUUAGUGAAAUCCAAUCUCUAGAACUAUGCAAUACCCCAACCACUUUAGUUCAGAAUGAACCUCGUACGAACCUAAAUUGUCCAAUUUCGUGGACCAAUCGAUAACGGAUUGAGUGCAAAACUUGGGGAACAUCAUAAUAUGGUGGGAGGAGUCAUCUGGUGACUUUUGAGUGAAAUCCAAUGGCUAAAACUGUGCAAUACACCAACCACUCCAUUUCAGAACGAACUUCGUACGAGCCUGAAUUGUCCUAUUUCAUGGACCAAUCGAUAUCGGAUUGAGUCCAAAACUUGGGGAACAUCAUAAUGUUGUGGGAGGAAUCAUUUUGUGAGUUUUGAGUGAAAUCCAAUGGCUAAAAGGAUGCAAUACACCAACCACUCCAUUUCAGACCGACAUUCUUACGAACAUGAAUUGUCCGAUUUCAUGGACCAAUCGAUAUCGGAUUGAACCCAAAACUUGGGGAACAUCAAAAUACGGUGGGAGGAGUCAUUUGGUGGGUUUUGAGUCAAAUCCAAUCUCUACAACUAUGUAAUACACCAACCACUCCAUUUCAUUUCAUAACGAACAUCGUAUGAACCUACAUUGUCCAAUUUCAUGGACCAAACGAUAUCGGAUUGAGUACAAAACAUGGGGAACAUCAUAAUAUGGUGGGAUGAUUGAUCUGGUGACUUUUGAGUGAAAUCCAAUGGCUAAAACUAUGCAAUACACCAACCACUCCAUUUCUGAAUGAACUUCGUACGAGCCUGAAUUGUCCAAUUUCAUAGACCAAUCGAUAUCGGAUUGAGUCCAAAACUUGGAGAGCGUCAUAAUAUGGUGGGUGGAGUCAUUUGGUGGGUUUCGAGUCAAAUCCAAUCUCUACAACUAUGCAAUACACCAACCACCCCAUUUCAUAACGAACUUCGUACGAACCUGAAUUGUCCAAUUUCAUGUCGGAUUGAGGCCAAAACUUGAGGAACAUCAUAGUGUUGUGGGAGAAGUCAUUUGGUGGUUUUGAGUAAAAUCCAACCUCUAAAACUAUGCAAUACACCAACCACUCCAUUUCAAAACAAAAUUCGUACAAACCUGAAUUGUCCAAUUUCAUGGACCAAUCGAUAUCGG